UACAGAGGGUGCAAGCGUUGUUCGGAAUUAUUGGGCGUAAAGGGCGCGUAGGCGGUGCGGUAAGUCUGUAGUGAAAUCUCUGGGCUCAACUCAGAGUCUGCUGCAGAAACUGCCGUGCUUGAGUGUGGGAGAGGUGAGUGGAAUUCCCGGUGUAGCGGUGAAAUGCGUAGAUAUCUGGAAGAACACCCCGUGGCUAAGGCGGCUCUCUAGUACGGUACUGACGCUGAGACGCGAAAGCGUGGGGAGCGAACAGG
This 254-nucleotide ribosomal RNA is filed under the name uncultured bacterium. RNAcentral's name for it is "partial 16S ribosomal RNA". It matches the Rfam family "Bacterial small subunit ribosomal RNA", at positions 524 to 776 of the family's 1533-position model. The record is from RNAcentral.